This 489-nucleotide ribosomal RNA is filed under the name uncultured bacterium. RNAcentral's name for it is "partial 16S ribosomal RNA". It matches the Rfam family "Bacterial small subunit ribosomal RNA", at positions 30 to 507 of the family's 1533-position model. The record is from RNAcentral.
UUGAACGCUGGCGGCAGGCCUAACACAUGCAAGUCGAACGGUAACAGGAAGAAGCUUGCUUCUUUGCUGGCGCGUGGCGGACGGGUGAGUAAUGUCUGGGAAACUGCCUGAUGGAGGGGGAUAACUACUGGAAACGGUAGCUAAUACCGCAUAACGUCGCAAGACCAAAAAGGGGGACCUUCGGGCCUCUUGCCAUCGGAUGUGCCCAGAUGGGAUUAGCUAGUAGGUGGGGUAACGGCUCACCUAGGCGACGAUCCCUAGCUGGUCUGAGAGGAUGACCAGCCACACUGGAACUGAGACACGGUCCAGACUCCUACGGGAGGCAGCAGUGGGGAAUAUUGCACAAUGGGCGCAAGCCUGAUGCAGCCAUACCGCGUGUAUGAAGAAGGCCUUCGGGUUGUAAAGUACUUUCAGCGGGGAGGAAGGGAGUAAAGUUAAUACCUUUGCUCAUUGACGUUACCCGCAGAAGAAGCACCGGCUAACUCCGUG